AGCGAACGCUGGCGGCGUGCCUAACACAUGCAAGUCGUGCGAGAAACUCCGCUUCGGCGGAGGAGUACAGCGGCGCACGGGUGAGUAACGCGUAGGUAACCUACCCCUGGGACCGGGAUAACGUGCCGAAAGGCGCGCUAAUACCGGAUAACAUGGAUGAGGGGGACCUCAUCCAUCAAAGGUGGCCUCUGUUUCAUGCUACUACCUGGGGAUGGGCCUGCGUCCCAUUAGCUUGUUGGUGGGGUAAUGGCCUACCAAGGCGACGAUGGGUAGCGGGUCUGAGAGGAUGAUCCGCCACACUGGAACUGGAACACGGUCCAGACUCCUACGGGAGGCAGCAGUGAGGAAUAUUGGACAAUGGGCGAAAGCCUGAUCCAGCAACGCCGCGUGGGUGAAGAAGGCCUUCGGGUCGUAAAGCCCUGUCAGAGGGGACGAAACCCUGCCUGGCUAAUAUCCAGGAAGGCUGACGGUACCCUCAGAGGAAGCGCCGGCUAACUCCGUGCCAGCAGCCGCGGUAACACGGAGGGCGCAAGCGUUGCUCGGAAUCACUGGGCGUAAAGCGGGUGUAGGCGGUCUAGCAAGUCAGAUGUGAAAGCCCACGGCUCAACCGUGGAAGUGCAUCUGAAACUGCUAGACUUGAGUGCCGGAGAGGGAAGUGGAAUUCCUGGUGUAGGGGUGAAAUCCGUAGAUAUCAGGAGGAACACCGGUGGCGAAGGCGACUUCCUGGACGGUAACUGACGCUGAGACCCGAAAGCGUGGGGAGCAAACAGGAUUAGAUACCCUGGUAGUCCACGCCCUAAACGAUGGGCACUAGGUGCUGGGGGUAUUACCCCCCCGGUGCCGUAGCUAACGCAUUAAGUGCCCCGCCUUGGGGAGUACGGCCGC
RNAcentral lists this ribosomal RNA (885 nucleotides) under uncultured delta proteobacterium. RNAcentral's name for it is "bacterial SSU rRNA". It matches the Rfam family "Bacterial small subunit ribosomal RNA", at positions 28 to 889 of the family's 1533-position model. The record is from RNAcentral. Lineage: Bacteria; Deltaproteobacteria.